AAAGAUUUGCGAUGACUGAACCAGGACUAACCCAGGUCUUUGGUGUCAUGUUUCAGAGCAGAGGGACCUGUCCGGCGAAGAGCUCACCCGGCUCUACAACACUCGUGUGAUCAAAGCAGAGCGCGUCGUUCGUCUUACAAAUGGCAUGCCAGCCUGGAUGCCCAACCUGUACAUCACCACCCACAGCGGAGUCAGGGUGACUCUGGCAGACGGCAACAGUCGCAGGUUCUUGAUCCACAAAGGCCCAGGCAACGGCAGCGUCUCGGACACUGUGGUCACAGAUGCCAAGUACAUGUCCAGCGCAUGGAUGGAGAAAGGCGAUGACACCCUGUGCUUCAGAGGGGCGGUGACGGUCGGGACUUGGUGAAAGCCGGGGGAGAGCAGUACAGUCUGUGGAGACUGCAGUACUGCCACACGGCCACUAAUGACAUGAUAAACAUGUGCUAGUUACAUGUUACAUGGCUGUGCUGUGUUACAACUGUCAUGUGCAGUCGACACAAACAUCACAUUAGUGUGACGGUUACAGAGACACAAAGAACAUUAAUUAUGUGCAGUAAAACAUGUUUCAAGGCAAACAACAAACAUAAUAAAACGAUCACAACCAAUAUUUUACAGUGGAAAUGGGAAAGUUAAUAAUAAUGGGUCGUGUUGAUUAUGUAAUACUUAUUAUAACUAAAUCAAUAGUCAAUUAAUAGAAUGGUGACUGGUGUUUAUAAGUAAUGAUUGAAUAUGGUUAAUGUUAACAUGUGAAUGGGAAAAAGAAAAAGUACAAAUUGUAAAUAAUUAUGUAAAUUAUGUUAUUUAUUAUUAUGUUA
Molecule: long non-coding RNA, 815 nt
Filed under: Neogobius melanostomus (round goby)
Lineage: Eukaryota; Metazoa; Chordata; Actinopteri; Gobiiformes; Gobiidae
Description: lncRNA (ENSNMLG00000010274.1)
Source: RNAcentral